Molecule: long non-coding RNA, 3359 nt
Organism: Fukomys damarensis (Damara mole-rat)
Lineage: Eukaryota; Metazoa; Chordata; Mammalia; Rodentia; Bathyergidae
Source: Ensembl
UUCCGCCCACUUAGCCGACUCACCAAAGCCCUAUACAGAGCUGCAAGCAACACACACCAUGUACCACAUGCACACACGAGUCACACACACACACACACACACACACACACACUGUAGACACCCUCACAGUGCAUACCCAGACAGGCCUUCUGCAGUUCUUCUGCCCCCACCGACCUCCAUUCCUUCCAUGGCUUAAGCUGACUGGACUUCCCUCCCUAGCGUUGGGCUUCACCCUCGCACGCCGAGCGUUGGCGCUAACCCCGCGGGCACGGCCUUCACAAGGCCAACUGCGCAGGUCGGGGGCCAGAGCGGAAGUGACGCCUCUCCCCGCGCGCGAACGUGCGCUCUCCAUUCCGGAAGCCGUGGCAGUGUUUCCCGAAAGUGCGUCCCAACAGGAGGAGGGGUAUCUAGUCUUCCUUGGUUGUAGUCCUAAGAAGGCUGUCUUACCAGGCUUCUUCAGCUGAGGGCGGAAUUACAGAGCGCGACCCUACGAGUUUUCCGAAGACCUUUGGCUCCAUCUAGUGGCCCGAUCCUGUUAUGUCACCCCCAACCUUUUUCUCCUGGAAUUUGAAGAGAAAAAGGGCUCUGGCAGAGGGAAUUCGAAAGCUCCUACUGUAAACAGGCUUGGCAGAGCCAGAGUUGGCCCACACAGUAACUGUUGUGCCUCAGAAAGCUGAGCUGGGUGCAUGACAUUUCCUCACUGGCUCCCACAGAGAGGGCUGCAGCCGGCUUUCAUGGCAUUCUGAGAGGAGCCAUUUUCCAAUGUGUCUGGAGAGCACUUGUGCUGUCCCUGCUUAGUCAUGUGCUGGGGCGCACAGGGGAGGUGUGUGCACGUGUGAGUGCACACGUGUGUGUGUGCACACGCUCUUGUGUAUGAAGCAUGAGAAUUUCAGGGUUGUGCUGAGCUCUGCCAUGCUAACUGGCAUCAGGAAGAGACAUAUGCAAAAUCAUACUCCACACGGCCUCUAAAUUUAGAUAAUCUGUCAAUAUCCUGCACUAUGGGGCCUUCUUUCUCUACACUGUGAUUUAAAGGCUUAAAAAUAGAAACCAGAUUCAGCCCAUUGUAAAGCGAGGGAGGUUAAUGGUGCUGUCCAGGACAUCAGACAUCAGCUCCCACUGAUGUGGCCUCCCAGAAGCAGCAGCUCGGUUCACCCCAUCUCUCUCCUCAACCCUACCCCUGCCAACAGACACAGAAGCAAAAUGAUCAGGGGCCUGCGUCCCCUCUCCUGCUCUGCUCCUCCCCAGGAGUGUAUUCCUCACUUUCCCAACACUGGGACAAAAUGCCCAACACCUGCACCUUGAGGAGGGUUUAUUUGGCUCUUGGUUGAGUCCACAGCCAGCUGGCUCCAAAGAGUACCAGCAUGGCAGACAGUCACAGCAGAGGAAAGCUGUCAUCCAUGGCAGCUAGGAAGCAAGGGAAAAGAGAGCCAGGAAGGAAUACACCUUUCCAGGUCACUUUCCUGGUGACUCUCCUCUUCUGAUCAAACCGCAUCUCCUAACAGCACAUUCAGCCAUGAACUGAUUAAUCCACUGAACCACGCACCUUCCAAAAGCCCCGCUUCUGAACACAUGAGCCUUUUAGAUCUGAAGAGUAACAAGGAGCCACUCCUUGGCUAUUACAUUUUGGAUCUUGAGUGUCCCCCAUGGGCCAUGUGUUGAAGUCUUGGUCCCCAGUCCAUGGCAUCCCUGGGAGGUUGUAGAACCUUGAAGACGUGGGGCCUACUGAGAGGAACUGUCCUUAGGGAGGUACCCUUGUGAGGCAUAAUGAGUCCUGCCCCUUCCUCUCCGCUUCCCGGCCUCUUCUGCUUAGGCUCUGCCAUGAGGCAUUGUGCUGCCACAGGCACGAGGUAACAGGGCUAAGUGACUGAAACCUCUGGCCCUGUGAGCCAAAAUAAUCCUUUUUUCCUAGUAGGUUAUCUCAGGUAUUUGUAAUGGUGACAGGAACACUUUUGAGGAAAGGUUAACAGAAGCUGGGCAUGGAUGACAUCUAAGGUCCCAUGUCAGCCAGCACUUCUUUUUUUAAUUAAAUUUAUUGGUGCAUCUUAGAUAGACAUAAUGAUCCCAUUCCCCAUAGGGAAUUUGUACCUGUAAUCGAUACUCUUGAUCCUUCUAUCCCAUUCCCGUACCCUCCCUUCAACCCCUCUUCCCUUCCUUAUUUGUAAAGCUUUGUUUCCAUUUUUCCUUCUUUUCUCAUUUUCUUUUCCUUUCUCCUGCCCCCCUCCCUAGUUCCUCUAUGCACUUGAACACUUUCUUCCUAUUUCACAAUAUCUAUUACACAUUUUGGCCCUCAUUUACAUUAUACAUUUCUCACACAAGAGAAACAAUUUGGUGUGUCCGAUUUAUGUAACUUAAGAAUAUUGUGUCUAGGUGCAUACAUUUAGCUAUAAAUGCUUCAAGUUUAUCUUUAUGGCUGAGUAGUACUCCACUGAGUUAAAAAAAAAAACCCACAUCUUCUUUAUCCAUUCAUCAGUUGGUGGGCAUUUGGGCUGUUUCCAACAGUGGAUUUUUUUUUUUUUUUUUUUUUGUGGCACUGGAUAGUGAUUCUAGGGCUGUGGCAGCAAGCCUGCUGCAAACAGGACAAAGAGCAAAUCCCUCUGUUGGCAGGAGAGACAAGAGUAUGACUUUUUUCUAAACUACAGAUGUCAGUAUUCAGGUUUAAUUGUGGUGUUGACACUUUGCAAUAAAUAAGUGGGUUUGGGCCUUCAUUCUCUAAAAGGUUUGCCAUCACUGCUCUAGGGCCUUCUCACUGAGCUAUAACCCCAGUCCUUUUUUUAUUUACUUAUUUCUUUGUUUAUUUAUUAUUGAGACAGUACGUUGCAAGUCACUACAUUGCUCAGGCAGGGCUCAAAUUUGCAAUCCUCCUGACUCAUCCUCCUAGAGUGCUGGGAUUACAUCGUGUUCAGCUACCACCCAGCACUUUUGAGUGCAUGGAGGUGGGGUGGUGGUACAAAAGAGAACAAGAAAGCAUCAUCAGCACUGCAGGGCUCAGAAUGGCUAUGACAAGAGGUUCAGGCCACCAUCUGCCUUAGGAGCAGACCAGUGACUAGGGAUGAUGACCCGUGACCCAUUGACAGCCAGUGCCUCUUCUGCUCACUACAACCCCAGAAGUUAACAGAUCCACCAGGCAUUGCUCUAUUUUUUGUUCCCUGCCCUAUUUAUUCUUAUUGCCCUAUUUUUUAAAUUAUUUUUACAUAUCAGUGGGGAAUUUAAAAGUGAAAUGUGGGUAGGACAGAAAUUCACUCUUUGGAUUCCCUUGUCUGUUUAAUCCCCAAGCAGAAUGGAUUCCUUACCAUCAAAAAGAUAUCGGGUUCCUUAUUAACCCCUUCUGUGAAAAGUAGGGCUGUAAGAGUACCUACCCC